AAUGGAGUCUGAGGUAUUAUGUACCGCUUCAGCAAAUUCGCGGACCUUCUCUUGACAAACAUAUCUCAUAAUUGUAGGAGGAGAUAACUGGCAUGAUGCUUGUGGUCUAUCUAGAUUACUGCAGCUUCUGAAGUACAUUCUUAAAUCUUAACUGGUUCACCGAUUCAUUAGUGUUACUGUGUUUUGUGUUUCCUGAAUUUGUUAACUCUCUUUUUCAGCACCAAUGCAAAACUGAAUAAGAGAAGGACCGAGCAAAAGGGUAGACGAGUUCAAGUGACAAUGUUGACUUUCACCCUACGGUAUAGAUGCAGACCGUAAGCGGUGUUGAUGGGAAGGAUCAGAAAGAUGCAGAGCAUGAGGAGAUAAGCUGGGUGGUUGGAGGGAAAUCAAAGGAGAUUUAGGAACGGAUGAAAGAGAUAAGCACUCAAUGACAGUGUUCUAUUUGAAAGAAUGAUGUGGGGUUUGGGGAUAAGGUGCCAGCAAGUGGCUGGUAUUAUUAUAAUCAGGGGAUUAGGUCUGUGGGUUAAAAUAUGGAAAGAAGCUUCUAGGUUGGGAAAUAAAUUAUUGAUUACAGUGACUGGACCAUAAAUCCGUUUCUUUUCUUCAAGAAUUAGAAAAAGUUUGGUUAAAAAAAUGAAGAAAGCCUAUUGUGAUGAUAAUAUAAUCUUAUAGCCAGUCAUCGUGAUAAAA
This is a long non-coding RNA of Neltuma alba, 690 nucleotides long. RefSeq lists it as uncharacterized. The transcript is spliced from 2 exons. NCBI's taxonomy places the organism in Eukaryota, Viridiplantae, Streptophyta, Magnoliopsida, Fabales, Fabaceae. The record is from RefSeq and is a predicted model, not a curated record.